This 443-nucleotide ribosomal RNA is filed under the name uncultured bacterium. RNAcentral describes it as "bacterial SSU rRNA". It matches the Rfam family "Bacterial small subunit ribosomal RNA", at positions 8 to 452 of the family's 1533-position model. The record is from RNAcentral.
AGAGUUUGAUCAUGGCUCAGGACGAACGCUGGCGGCGUGCCUAACACAUGCAAGUCGAGCGGAGACAGCAGAAAUGUUGUUUUAGCGGCGGACGGGUGAGUAACGCGUGGGCAACCUGCCUUUCACUGGGGGAUAACACUGGGAAACUAGUGCUAAUACCGCAUAACAUCACGGGAUGACAUCUUCCUGUGAUCAAGGGAGCAAUCCGGUGAAAGAUGGGCCCGCGUCCGAUUAGCUAGUUGGUGAUGUAACGGACCACCAAGGCGACGAUCGGUAGCCGAACUGAGAGGUUGAUCGGCCACAUUGGGACUGAGACACGGCCCAGACUCCUACGGGAGGCAGCAGUGGGGAAUAUUGCGCAAUGGAGGAAACUCUGACGCAGCAACGCCGCGUGAAGGAUGAAGGUUUUCGGAUCGUAAACUUCUUUGAUUGGGGACGAAAAA